Molecule: ribosomal RNA, 425 nt
Filed under: uncultured bacterium
Lineage: Bacteria
Description: partial 16S ribosomal RNA
Rfam family: Bacterial small subunit ribosomal RNA
Source: RNAcentral
GUGGGGAAUAUUGGACAAUGGGCGCAAGCCUGAUCCAGCCAUGCCGCGUGAGUGAUGAAGGCCCUAGGGUUGUAAAGCUCUUUCACCGGUGAAGAUAAUGACGGUAACCGGAGAAGAAGCCCCGGCUAACUUCGUGCCAGCAGCCGCGGUAAUACGAAGGGGGCUAGCGUUGUUCGGAAUUACUGGGCGUAAAGCGCACGUAGGCGGACAUUUAAGUCAGGGGUGAAAUCCCGGGGCUCAACCCCGGAACUGCCUUUGAUACUGGGUGUCUGGAGUAUGGAAGAGGUAAGUGGAAUUCCGAGUGUAGAGGUGAAAUUCGUAGAUAUUCGGAGGAACACCAGUGGCGAAGGCGGCCUGCUGGACAUUAACUGACGCUGAGGCGCGAAAGCGUGGGGAGCAAACAGGAUUAGAAACCCGGGUAGUCC